UUUCCGUAGGUGAACCUGCGGAAGGAUCAUUGUAGGAUUGUUUUGGGAGGGAUGGUUGUGAUUUGUGGGGAUUGUGUGUGGUUGUUUGGAUUGCUUGGAUUGCCUGGCUGUCUGCAACUCGACUCGUCUUGUCACAACCACUCUUUACAUUGGCACAGACCAGUGGUCUGGUGUUUGGAGCAACAGACCACUGGUGUCUGAUGUUUGCGCCUGCUCGUUUGACAGAAACAAUACCAUAUCAUAUUAUCAUUGCAAAACUUUUAACAAUGGAUCUCUUGGCUCUU
RNAcentral lists this unclassified non-coding RNA (284 nucleotides) under plant metagenome. RNAcentral's name for it is "partial contains small subunit ribosomal RNA, internal transcribed spacer 1, and 5.8S ribosomal RNA". The record is from RNAcentral.